This is a long non-coding RNA of Bos indicus x Bos taurus (hybrid cattle), 1258 nucleotides long. Lineage: Eukaryota; Metazoa; Chordata; Mammalia; Artiodactyla; Bovidae. The record is from Ensembl.
GUGGUGGUGACUGGCACAGUUACCUUCACAGUGUGACUGAUGAGAAUCUCAGUCACAGUGUAGUCAGAAACAACCUUAAGAAAAAUCCAGUUGCUAGUGGUGAUGAUGGAGAAGAGAAGAAAUGAAAGACCUCUAAGGACACGACUGUUGACAGUAACCAUUGAUACUGAUGGACUGUAGGUUGCCCUCUGUGUGCUUGGGUCUUUGGUAGCAUACUUCUUCUAAAGAGCAUUCAGUUCCAAAUGGGGAGCAACUAUGUUUUGUGAACACUUACCAGCAUUUUGGGGCUUCCCUGGUGGCUUGAAGGUAAAGAAUCUGCUGGCAAUCCAAGAGAUGUGGGUUUGAUCCCUGGGUCAGGAAGAUUCCCUGGAGAAGGAAACGGCUACCCACACUCCAGUAUUCCUGCCUGGAGAAUUCCAUGGACAGAGGAGCCUGGUGGGCACUUUGGUGCUAGUUAACUAAAAUAGGUUCUUUCCCAUGCUCAGAAUGUAUUCCUCAUGAAUAGAAAGGCUCUAUUCUGUAUGAAGUGUGUGAUGGUAGACAGAAAGUGUUAGAAGCUUCUUGAAGGGAGUGACUUGGAGCAGAUUCUUGGAAGAUAAGUCAUGCACUGACCAUGUGACUAAGAUCAAAAGUUCCGAAAGACCCUUGCCUGUUUGGAAAAUACUGGGCAAAAACCAAACAAAAGGACUUCUGUUUCUGGCCAAGGAGGGUAGUAGGGAUUUACUCUCUGACUAGAAACAACCCAAAGUGAUCAUGGCAAGAAAAGUUCAUAAGCUGGUUGUUUGUCCUUGAAAUAUCUUCCCCCAUAGAAUCAGUUUUAAGUGACAGGUUCAUUCCUGGCUGAUGCACAAAAGCCUGUUUCCUCCACAUGAGGGAAUUUCAACUAUACUCUCUGUUAAGUAGGUUUUAUAGCCUGGUUUGAAGACACUGUCUCCCCAUGUUAUAUGUUGUCUUCCUGAAGGAGAUAUUGGGGGACCAGAAGAACAAGGAAACAAUGAUCAUUUAAAUAGUCCUUUCACCUGCUGCAGGUGUCUGCUGAAAUGGAAAUGGAGAGGUUCGAGGACAGGUCUGGCCUCUGGGAACAGCUGGGCAUUGUUUGGUCAGUGGAUAAAGGUCUUUUCUAAGCGCUUGAGGCUUCCACCUCCCUGGAGAGGGCUGUCCAAAGCUCUUGGCUGCCCUGAAGGGGGAACUGGGGAAUUAUUAUGGACCCAGAGACUUUCCAGCUUGAUGCAGUUCCUUCUAACCCAGGAUUUCUCAG